GGRGUAAUUYUAAACGGCCGSGGAAUUUUAACCGUGCUAAGGUAGCAUAAUCAUUUGUCUUUUAAUUAAAGACUUGUAUGAAUGGUUUAAUGAAAUAAAGCUAUCUCUAAAAUAUUAAAUAAAAAUUAUUUUUAAAGUGAAAAAUCUUUAAUAAAAUAAAAAGACAAAAAGACCCUAUAGAGUUUAAUUUAUCUGUAUAGACACAUAUAUAUAUAAAUUUAGUUGGGGCAACUAAUGAAAAAAAAAAUUUCUUUUAAAAAAAAAAAAUAAAAUCAUUAAUUUAAUACUAUAAAACAAAUUACCUUAGGGGUAACAGCGUAAUUUUUUUUAARAGCUCAAAUCGAARAAAAAAAUUAC
RNAcentral lists this ribosomal RNA (357 nucleotides) under Gymnomeniidae sp. 2 FB-2018. RNAcentral describes it as "partial 16S ribosomal RNA". Lineage: Eukaryota; Metazoa; Mollusca; Solenogastres; Pholidoskepia; Gymnomeniidae. The record is from RNAcentral.